Molecule: transfer RNA, 72 nt
Filed under: Heliconius melpomene (postman butterfly)
Lineage: Eukaryota; Metazoa; Arthropoda; Insecta; Lepidoptera; Nymphalidae
Description: tRNA HMEL017677
Rfam family: tRNA
About the family: Transfer RNA (tRNA) molecules are approximately 80 nucleotides in length. Their secondary structure includes four short double-helical elements and three loops (D, anti-codon, and T loops).
Source: RNAcentral
GAACGUAUAGCUUUGUGGUCAGAGCACUAUGACGCUUUCGGAGAGGCGCAGGUUCAAAUCCUGCUACAUCCA